RNAcentral lists this non-coding RNA (45 nucleotides) under Echinostoma caproni. Lineage: Eukaryota; Metazoa; Platyhelminthes; Trematoda; Plagiorchiida; Echinostomatidae. The record is from RNAcentral.
GCACUGCUGAUGAGACCCAACCAGGUCGAAACAGUUAUCCAGUGC